Molecule: ribosomal RNA, 412 nt
Filed under: uncultured microorganism
Description: bacterial SSU rRNA
Rfam family: Archaeal small subunit ribosomal RNA
Source: RNAcentral
GUGCAGCAGUCGAGAAAACUUCACACUGUGCGAAAGCACGAUGAGGGAAUCCCAAGUGCUUGCACGUAAGUGUAAGCUGUUUCUCUGUCUAAAACGCAGAGAGAGUAAGGGCUGGGUAAGACGGGUGCCAGCCGCCGCGGUAAUACCUGCAGCUCAAGUGGUGACCGUUAUUAUUGGGCCUAAAACGUCCGUAGCCGGUUUAAUAAAUGCCUGGGUAAAUUGUGUAGCUUAACUAUACGAAUUCCGGGUAGACUGUUAAACUUGAGACCGGGAGAAGUUAGAGGUACUCCUGGGGUAGAGGUGAAAUUCUGUAAUCCUAGGGGGACCACCAGUGGCGAAGGCGUCUAACUAGAACGGGUCUGACGGUGAGGGACGAAGCCUGGGGCGCAAACGGGAUUAGAUACCCCGUAGU